RNAcentral lists this ribosomal RNA (633 nucleotides) under Frondihabitans sp. Its description in RNAcentral is "bacterial SSU rRNA". It matches the Rfam family "Bacterial small subunit ribosomal RNA", at positions 56 to 707 of the family's 1533-position model. The record is from RNAcentral. Lineage: Bacteria; Bacillati; Actinomycetota; Actinomycetes; Micrococcales; Microbacteriaceae.
UGCAGUCGACGAUGAGGGGAGCUUGCUUCCUGGAUUAGUGGCGAACGGGUGAGUAACACGUGAGUAACCUGCCCUUGACUCUGGGAUAAGCGUUGGAAACGACGUCUAAUACCGGAUAUGACCUGUGACGGCAUCGUCUGCAGGUGGAAAGAAUUUUGGUCAAGGAUGGACUCGCGGCCUAUCAGGUAGUUGGUGAGGUAACGGCUCACCAAGCCGACGACGGGUAGCCGGCCUGAGAGGGUGACCGGCCACACUGGGACUGAGACACGGCCCAGACUCCUACGGGAGGCAGCAGUGGGGAAUAUUGCACAAUGGGCGAAAGCCUGAUGCAGCAACGCCGCGUGAGGGACGACGGCCUUCGGGUUGUAAACCUCUUUUAGUUGGGAAGAAGGGAGCUUGCUCUUGACGGUACCAGCAGAAAAAGCACCGGCUAACUACGUGCCAGCAGCCGCGGUAAUACGUAGGGUGCAAGCGUUGUCCGGAAUUAUUGGGCGUAAAGAGCUCGUAGGCGGUUUGUCGCGUCUGCUGUGAAAUCUGGGGGCUCAACCCCCAGCCUGCAGUGGUACGGGCAGACUAGAGUGCGGUAGGGAGAUUGUAUCUGGUGUAGCGGUGGUAUGCGCAGAUAUCAGACGU